GACGAACGCUGGCGGCGUGCUUAACACAUGCAAGUCGAACGGGGUUAUUUCUUCGGAGAUAACUUAGUGGCGAACGGGUGAGUAACGCGUGAGAAACCUGCCUUUCAGUGGGGGACAACAGUUGGAAACGACUGCUAAUACCGCAUAAUGUCAUUUGGGGGCAUCCCCGAAUGACCAAAGAUUUAUUGCUGAAAGAUGGUCUCGCGUCUGAUUAGCUAGAUGGCGGGGUAACGGCCCACCAUGGCGACGAUCAGUAGCCGGUCUGAGAGGAUGAACGGCCACAUUGGGACUGAGAUACGGCCCAGACUCCUACGGGAGGCAGCAGUGGGGAAUAUUGGGCAAUGGGGGAAACCCUGACCCAGCAACGCCGCGUGAAGGAAGAAGGCCUUCGGGUUGUAAACUUCUUUUACCAGGGACGAACAAAUGACGGUACCUGGAGAAAAAGCAACGGCUAACUACGUGCCAGCCGCCGCCGUAA
Molecule: ribosomal RNA, 478 nt
Filed under: uncultured bacterium
Lineage: Bacteria
Description: partial 16S ribosomal RNA
Rfam family: Bacterial small subunit ribosomal RNA
Source: RNAcentral